CACGUAGGGGGCGAGCGUUGUCCGGAUUUAUUGGGCGUAAAGAGCUCGUAGGUGGUUCGGUAAGUCGGGUGUGAAAACUCUGGGCUCAACUCAGAGACGCCACCCGAUACUGCUGUGACUGGAGUCUGGUAGGGGAGUGUGGAAUUCCCGGUGUAGCGGUGAAAUGCGCAGAUAUCGGGAGGAACACCAGUGGCGAAGGCGGCACUCUGGGCCAGUACUGACACUGAGGAGCGAAAGCGUGGGUAGCGAACAGG
Molecule: ribosomal RNA, 254 nt
Filed under: uncultured bacterium
Lineage: Bacteria
Description: partial 16S ribosomal RNA
Rfam family: Bacterial small subunit ribosomal RNA
Source: RNAcentral